RNAcentral lists this unclassified non-coding RNA (2014 nucleotides) under Hevea brasiliensis (rubber tree). The record is from RNAcentral. Lineage: Eukaryota; Viridiplantae; Streptophyta; Magnoliopsida; Malpighiales; Euphorbiaceae.
GUUUGAUAUCUUUCUAGUUGCUUCUGGCGGAAUCAGAAACGGGGAAGGAAAAGUUGGAACUUGGAAGCGAUAAAAUGGCCGGAGAGCAUAUUAUGAGGAGAAUUCCACGGAUUAAAUUCCCACAAAGACACCCGAAAUCUUCAUCUUCUGGUUCCAUUUCCAAAUCUCAUGCAAUGUCAAGGUCAGAUGUGCCGGCACCACCCUCUAACACUGCUGUAGGAGGCAAAGCUUCUCUUCAGCCUAAGCGUACACCAGUCUCUGAGAGAGAAAUAGAGACCAUUCUGGUAAGCGUAACAUCGUUUUGUGCCCUAGUCAGAAUUCAUAUUUCUAGAUUCAGAAUUGUUGCUGCAAAACCAAACCCUCUCAGAAAAUUGGAAUUCAAGUAAAAUGAGAAUCUGAAUGAAUGGGACAUGAGUUGCUUUGGACAUUGCAAUGAGGUUUUAAAUCUUAUUUUAGUUCCAUUUUGCAUUAACUCUGUAUUUCUCACUUAACCAACAUAUUAAUUAUCGUACUCCAGGCAAUUAUUGUUGUACUUUAUUUAUUGAUGCAAUCAUUUUAUUACAAACCAUUUAUGAUCUUUUUCAUAUUAAAUGUUAAUAUAUUUUUGAAGACAGUGAUGCUUACAUCUGGCAAAUUGCCAAAUUAAGUUAUAAAGUGACGAAGAAGCUUGAGCUCGGAUACCAUGAACAGAAUUGAAGAUCAACUCUAAACUAAUCAAAUCACUGUAAUAUCAAAAAGUUGUAAUACAAAGCAAUUAUUUGUUUCCAUUAUUCUCUGAUAUUGAAGUUUUUGGAUUAGUUUAGAGUUGAUUUUCAAUUUUGUACAAUCUUCUUUAUGUUUUGUAAGGUUAAUUAUUGAAUUUUCAUUCAAAUAGCUUUUAUUUGAUAUGUAGAUAACAAAAUUCAUUUUGGCAAAAUUGAUUGCUUUAGUUCAUCAUGAGAUUUCACAUUGACAUCCAAAGGGUAGCUUCUUGUUUUUCAGCUUGCAAGUGAACAAACUAAUAUAGACUAGCACGGUCUAUGAAUGGGGGUAUCCGCUUUGCGGUCAAGUAGAUUGACCCAUGUUCCAUGGCAAAAGACCCAACUAGAUUCAAUAACUUCUGAGAAUUUAUUUGAAGUAUAUCUAAAUCCAAUUAUUUCAAAAAUAUGUGAGCCCAAGUAGGAUAAUGCCAUCUGUUGCCUUUCCAUUCGAUGCUGUACAUGUUAAACUAAAAUAUGAGAGUUCUGCAGUUUCAAUUGUUUAAGCAUAUCAUUUCAUCCAAAUAUAUUUCCUGGCCAAAUGCUGAUUUUCAUCCUCUCUUUUGCAGCUGGGUGGGUGCUUCUGACUCAGCAACCGAUAUGGCUUAUGGCCAGUACUAAUAAAAAUUCCUGUCUGGUUUCUGAGCCCAUGCUUUUGCUGUAUGAAAUGUUGAUUUUCACCUUUUGUUCGUGUCAUAUCUAUGAAAUUGUUGUAAUGAAAUGAUGGAGACCGUUAAUUAUUCUCAAAUAUGAUGCCAAAGAAUUCCUGAAUAUACUUCUCCAGUGUGCUCUUCCAGGUGUAACAUGCUGGAGAACCCAAUAUGAUAAGCAAUAUAUUAUAUUCCUUCAGUGCUCGAUCAAUAUCAUCAUAAUUGGCAGAUGCAACCAUAAAUUUGUGAAUAACCCAAUGGCCAAUGUCUCUUGUUUGCUGAUCAGAUCAUGACAAGAGGAUGGGGACGUGAACAUAUCUGUUGAAAAUGAAAAUCUCUGCUAUGAAUUUGAUGAUUUGCCAAUAGCCGUCUCGUAAUGAGCUUUAUGUCUUUUGCCUGCCUUCGACGAGGACUGCUUCAAAUCCCUAUCAGCGUUAAAUUCAAAUGAGAACUCAAAUUUCUAGCUUCUUGCAUGAUUGCCUGCUUUUCUAACAGAGGAAUUAUCGAGUAGGAUGAUUUAAGUAUUCACCAUUUAAGUUGGAUAAUUACACUCCAAAAGACAUUUGCAUAUCAUAUGGGAAAAAAUAUUUUAGGUACUGAUGCACUGCUCUUGGGAGGAUAUCAAAA